Molecule: long non-coding RNA, 1887 nt
Organism: Solenopsis invicta (red fire ant)
Lineage: Eukaryota; Metazoa; Arthropoda; Insecta; Hymenoptera; Formicidae
Exons: 2
Source: RefSeq, a predicted model, not a curated record
AUUUGCAAAAAUUUUUUACAAAAUAUACGAUAGUUCAAAGAUUAAAAAAUGGAAAAAUAUACAGGACCUCCAAUCAGUCAGAAACUUGACAUGAAUUUUGGAGAAAGAUCAUUGCUGGAUGAAAAUUUUAAGGGAGAAUUUACGAACGCUCUUCUUGCUGCCAGAUUUAUUUACGAAAAACAGAAUCUGUUAACAAAUAAUCCUCCUGAAAAAAUGAGCUCUGUCUCUUUGGCUAUGGCAAAUGAAAUAAGUAAAGCAACAAUAAAUGUGCUCAAUGAAGGUGUAAUUGUAAUGGAAGAAAAACUGAUUUUGUUCAGUGAAGACGAUGGUGAAGAAGAUUUUGAGGAGGUGUGUUUUAUUGUUUCUUUUACAAUUGCAAUGAUAUUUUAUUAAAUUUCCUGAUAAUUGCAAAAGCACAACUUUUUCAUUUUUUUUUAGUGUACAGAUGAUCCAACGGUCGAUCCUGAUUAUAAUCCAAAAGAUUUUGAAGAACCUUCAUGUGAAUAUAUUCCGUUGGAAUAUAAGCAGAAAGUUGUGGCUCUUGCCGAAGCACAUCCAAAAUGGAGUUUGGCCAAUCUCCAGAAAAAGGGUGCUCAUCGAUUGAAAAGAAAGGAUUACCUUAAGCGGUGGAAGGAAGACGUUAAAAAAGGUGGAACGCGAAUUGACAAAUUAAGAGCAAUAGAUUCUGAAACUUACCACCGUUUCAUCGAAGCAAGACGCUCUUUGGAGCAGAUUACUACUAGGACAUUGCAACAAUGGGCGAUGACAGCAGCUUUCCCUUUCCUUUCGGAUGACUUUCGGUUUGAAGCUAGUUCUACAUGGGUAACAGUUUUCAAGCAAAAGCAUAAAAUAAAGCAGCGAAAAAUUACAAAAUAUGUGAGUAAAAGAGACAUCGCUACCAUGGAGGAAACAGUAGAAGCUGCAGAAAAAUUUCAGAGACAAACGAGAAAACUAAUUUCUAAAUUUGAUUUGGAUCUUGUGAUCAACACAGAUCAAACAGGUUGCCAAUAUCAAAUGACAUAUAACAGAUCAUAGGACUAUCAAGGAGUUAAAACCGUAUUAGUGAAAAAGCAAAGUUUGAAUAAGAUAACUCAUUCAUACACCGCACAGUACAGUAUAACUGCGUCAGGCAAGUUGCUUCCCCGAGUCUUUUUGUGCCUACAAGAGCCCACAAAUAAGUUUGGCCCUAUAGUUUCAAAAGCUAUAGAGAAAUUACAAGCAGAAUUAAAAAAUGUUGUAGUUACUUGUUUUAAAUCAGGAAAAUUAACAAAAUAUUUAUAUGAAGAAUUUCUAAAAAGUAUUCUCGUGCCAUACGUAAAAAAUGAAAAAUUUCUAUUAAUUAUUGAUUCUUGGGAAAGGCAAACAGAUUGCAGUUUACAUGAUAAUAUUUGAAAAUGAUUCUGGAGAAGCGACUUGUACAUUAAAAUUCAUUCUUCCUAAAUGUACGCCUCUUUGUCAACCGUGUGACGUAUAUUUUUAUCGGCAGGUUAAAAUUUUGAUAAAACGUUUACAAAAUAAUUCUGCGUUAUUAAAAGAUCAGCGAGAAAUAGCAUCGCGCGAAGAUGCCAUAAAAAUACAUUCAUUGGUUCACUAUCAAUUAAGCGCUCCCGUCUUUUCUCCCAUGUUAAAGUAUGCUUGGUUUGCUGCAAAAUUAAUACAGGAUAAAUCAGUUUUUUUAAAUGUAAACGACGUCUGCUUUCCUCUAGCACUUUUGAAAAAGAAUUGUGCGUGUUGUGAUAUAUCAUUUAUAAAGUGUGCAUGGUGUGAGCAAAAUCUUUGUUUCACGUGCUUCUAUGACAAGUAUCAUCCAAAUAAUUGUAAACAAUUUGUACAAGACGUUGAUAGUGAUAACGACGAUAAAUAAAAAUGUUAGCACAUUAUUACGCA